RNAcentral lists this ribosomal RNA (400 nucleotides) under uncultured bacterium. RNAcentral describes it as "bacterial SSU rRNA". It matches the Rfam family "Bacterial small subunit ribosomal RNA", at positions 30 to 433 of the family's 1533-position model. The record is from RNAcentral.
AUUGAACGCUGGCGGCAUGCCUUACACAUGCAAGUCGAACGGCAGCACGGGAGCAAUCCUGGUGGCGAGUGGCGAACGGGUGAGUAAUAUAUCGGAACGUGCCCAGUCGUGGGGAUAACGUAGCGAAAGCUACGCUAAUACCGCAUACGAUCUAUGGAUGAAAGCGGGGGAUCGCAAGACCUCGCGCGAUUGGAGCGGCCGAUAUCAGAUUAGGUAGUUGGUGAGGUAAAGGCUCACCAAGCCGACGAUCUGUAGCUGGUCUGAGAGGACGACCAGCCACACUGGGACUGAGACACGGCCCAGACUCCUACGGGAGGCAGCAGUGGGGAAUUUUGGACAAUGGGCGCAAGCCUGAUCCAGCAAUGCCGCGUGCAGGAUGAAGGCCUCGGUUGUAACUAGC